ACUCAAGAUAAUCUACUUAUACUUCUACUUAGGAAAAAUACAUAUCCAAACAUAAAUCUACAAAUACCGCAUAUACGAUCAAGAGUCGUAGAAAAAAAAUUACGAUAUUGGGGAAUUGUAGGAAAGAGAUCUAAAGGAUCUUUUUCCUCAAAUUCCUCUUUGGCCUUAUUAUAUCAUCCCCCCCUCUCCCCGCCAAUUAAUAUUUUCUUUAUAUUGUUUUGUUCAUUUUUGUUCAUUCAAUUCGAAUAGCAAAUACCAAGAGUGAUAAGUUGAAUAAAAAUUCUUAUAGUAUCACAGGCGGGUGAUUAAAAAAAAAGAAAAGAAAGAUGCUUUAUAAAAUAAUUCCCCUUUUAGUUGAUUUUAGUCAAUUCUUCAAUUCAACGAUUGACCAAAAGAGAAUAUUAAUAUAAUAAAUUGCAUGGCCGUAUCUCAAUCAACUACUGAUAUAUUAGUUCUAUGCAAUAAUUCGCCUUAAUGAAUUCGUCUAUUUCGAUUGUAGCCUGGUGGAUAAUGAUAACGAAAAGGAAUAGAAAAAAAAAGAGAUUUAUAAAAAACGGGGUGAUUCGAUGAGGGGUACAUAAUUAGGUAUGUGGAAUCAAAUGCCAACUCUUGUGUAUUUUUUGAAUUUUAAAAGGGGUUCGAGAAUACGAUUGACUUUAAGAUACGAAUACUUGGAGUCUAAGAUAUUAAUAGUUGGUUUACGUUCUGUAAGAAAGACAUGUAUAUGGGAUAUUAGAUAUUGCUAGUUAUAUAUGAACUAAAGAUAUAUCUAAUCCACCCUACUCUUGUGAUUAUUGUGAAUUUCGAUAGGGAUUCUAAUAGAAAUUUAGAAAUUGUUCGAUUUCGUCUUUGCUGCUGUACGGCCAAGAUUGUGAAUUUCGAUAGGGAUUCUAAUAGAAAUUUAGAAAUUGUUCGAUUUCGUCUUUGCUUUGAUGCUUUGACUGGGAAUUGAAUCAAUAAAAAUAAAGAGAUGAAAGAAAGAAAACGAACGAAGAAUUCAAAAAAGGGUUCCGAAAAAAGAAAUGGAAGAACAAAAGUCGUAUGGAUUUACAAAAAUCCUGUGUUGUGCCUGUGGAUCGAAACUAAAAAAGAGAUAUCUAAAAAGUGUUGA
This 1111-nucleotide long non-coding RNA is filed under the name Citrus sinensis (sweet orange). RNAcentral describes it as "long non-coding RNA (CSIN_LNC004816)". Lineage: Eukaryota; Viridiplantae; Streptophyta; Magnoliopsida; Sapindales; Rutaceae. The record is from RNAcentral.